Molecule: ribosomal RNA, 388 nt
Filed under: Ctenophora sp. (in: diatoms)
Lineage: Eukaryota; Bacillariophyta; Fragilariophyceae; Fragilariales; Fragilariaceae
Description: Ctenophora sp. (in: Bacillariophyta) partial small subunit ribosomal RNA
Rfam family: Eukaryotic small subunit ribosomal RNA
Source: RNAcentral
AUUCCAGCUCCAAUAGCGUAUAUUAAAGUUGUUGCAGUUAAAAAGCUCGUAGUUGAACUUCGGAACCGGUCGAUUGGUCCGUCCUCUGGAUUGUGUACUGAUCGAUCUGUUCUUCUUCGCGAAGACCGCGUGUGCCCUUAACUGGGUGUGCACGGGAUUCACGACGUUUACUUUGAAAAAAUUAGAGUGUUCAAAGCAGGCAUUCGCUUGAAUAUCUCAGCAUGGAAUAAUAGAAUAGGACUUUGGUCUUAUUUUGUUGGUUUCCGAGACCGAAGUAGUGAUUAAUAGGGACAGUUGGGGGCAUUCGUAUUUCAUUGUCAGAGGUGAAAUUCUUGGAUUUAUGAAAGACGAACUUCUGCGAAAGCAUUUGCCAAGGAUGUUUUCAUCA